ACGGCUGCUCAGUAACACGUAGUCAACUUACCCUAUGGACGAGGAUAAUCUCGGGAAACUGAGCAUAAUACUCGAUAGAUCAUAAUGCCUGGAAUGGUUUAUGGUUGAAAUGAUUCAUCGCCACAGGAUGGGACUGCGGCCUAUCAGCUUGUUGGUGAGGUAAUGGCCCACCAAGGCGAUUACAGGUACGGGCUCUGAGAGGAGAAGCCCGGAGAUGGGUACUGAGACAAGGACCCAGGCCCUAUGGGGCGCAGCAGGCGAGAAAACUUUGCAAUGUGCGAAAGCACGACAAGGUUAAUCCGAGUGAUUUCUGCUAAAGAAAUCUUUUGCAAGUCAUAAAACCACUAGUGAAUAAGGGGUGGGCAAGUUCUGGUGUCAGCCGCCGCGGUAAAACCAGCACCUCAAGUGGUCAGGAGGAUUAUUGGGCCUAAAGCAUCCGUAGCCGGCUCUGUAAGUUUUCGGUUAAAUCCAUGUGCUCAACGCAUGGGCUGCCGAAAAUACUGCAUAGCUAGGGAGUGGGAGAGGUAGACGGUACUCGGUAGGAAGGGGUAAAAUCCUUUGAUCUAUCGAUGACCACCUGUGGCGAAGGCGGUCUACCAGAACACGUUCGACGGUGAGGGAUGAAAGCUGGGGGAGCAAACCGGAUUAGAUACCCGGGUAGUCCCAGCUGUAAACGAUGCAGACUCGAUGAUGCAUUGGCAUAUAGCCAGUGCAGUGUCGCAGGGAAGCCGUUAAGUCUGCCGCCUGGGAAGUACGUACGCAAGUAUGAAACUUAAAGGAAUUGGCGGGGGAGCAG
RNAcentral lists this ribosomal RNA (796 nucleotides) under uncultured marine thaumarchaeote. RNAcentral describes it as "bacterial SSU rRNA". It matches the Rfam family "Archaeal small subunit ribosomal RNA", at positions 82 to 879 of the family's 1478-position model. Lineage: Archaea; Thermoproteati; Nitrososphaerota. The record is from RNAcentral.